Long non-coding RNA from Sceloporus undulatus (fence lizard), 741 nucleotides. RefSeq lists it as uncharacterized. The record is from RefSeq and is a predicted model, not a curated record. The transcript has 3 exons. NCBI's taxonomy places the organism in Eukaryota, Metazoa, Chordata, Lepidosauria, Squamata, Phrynosomatidae.
CAGUGCUCUUACCUCCUCGUAAUCGUUCUCUGGUGUGAGGAAGUCAUCCACGAUGGUGAUCCGGUGGCCCAGCUGCUCGCUCAAGGCAUCCAGGAAGCGAUCUGUGUCCCGGCUGCGUGGUGGGCGCGAGAAGGCAAGACGGACUCGAUCCACACCGGGGCAUGUCCGCGUAGUGUAAAUCCAAAGCUCCGACUGCCUUUAUAGACCCGGACGGUCCUGGAGAGGCAAGGAUCGAGGCGGGUAACAGGCCCAAGAGGAAGAGAUGUAUUGAGAGGCCAUGCAUGAAGAGACACAUGGGACAACAAAGAUGCAAGGUAAAGACAACAAGGGCAAACUGUGAAGGAAGGAAGGCUGUCAGAAGGCUUCCUCUCUAUUGAAACACAUCUGCCUUCUGCAAACACAUCUGCAAUCUACAAACAAACUGCUUUCUACAAACACAUCUGCUGUCUGCAAAUAUGACUGCCUUCCGCAAGCACAUCUGCCUUCCAUAAACACACCUGCAGACUGCAAACACAUCUGCCUUCUACAAACACAUCUGCAGUCUGCAAACACAACUGCCUUCCAUAGACAUAUCUGCAAUCUGCAAACACAACUGAAGCUCAUCUGCCUUCCACAAAGACAUUUGCAAUCUGCAAGCUCACCCACCUUCCACAAACACAUUCCACAUGUCUUCCGCUAUGACAGGAGUGGGAAAACCAGUGCAGAAGGCCACCCAAAGCAUCUGUACCUGAUAUUGUCUAU